Molecule: ribosomal RNA, 253 nt
Filed under: uncultured bacterium
Lineage: Bacteria
Description: partial 16S ribosomal RNA
Rfam family: Bacterial small subunit ribosomal RNA
Source: RNAcentral
UACGGAGGGGGCGAGCGUUAUUCGGAAUUAUUGGGCGUAAAAGGCGCGUAGGCGGCUGUACAAGUCAAAGGUGAAAUCCCUCGGCUCAACUGAGGAACUGCCUUUGAAACUGUACGGCUUGAGGCCGGGAGGGGGUAGCGGAAUUCCCAGUGUAGCGGUGAAAUGCGUAGAUACUGGGAGGAACACCAGUGGCGAAGGCGGCUACCUGGACCGGUUCUGACGCUGAGGCGCGAAAGCGUGGGUAGCAAACAGG